RNAcentral lists this long non-coding RNA (1428 nucleotides) under Marmota monax (woodchuck). Lineage: Eukaryota; Metazoa; Chordata; Mammalia; Rodentia; Sciuridae. The record is from RNAcentral.
UUGUUUUUCACAGAUGUCUGUGCAUUUGAUGGAGCAACCAGAGUCACCUCUUCCAGAACUCACAAACUACUAUAUGUGGGGAAAGACCUUCACCGCUGGGUGGAUGUGAGGGCACUAUCUGGGUGGGAUGUGGCUCUUUUGAGUGCAUAAUGGUAUAGUCCCUAUGCAGUGCUAUUGGCUGGAUGGCAUCAGCAAAGAGUCCUCAACAGCUGAACCUGUGGAUGUUUCUGUAGUGGCAUCGAAAACUUCUGGGGUUCUCCCAAUUUCAUUUUCUCCAACAAGGGAAGUCAUGGCUAAGGAUUUUUCUACUGGGUCCUAUUUGUGGGAACACUAAUGAUGGUUGUGGAACUCUGGUUGAAGUAUGGCAGUUGUGGAGAAGUCAUGGAACCAGAGUUUGGAGCACAGUUACAUAUGGAUAGGCUGUGGGUCUGAGGCACCCAGGGUUGCAAGUUUCUCCUCUGCCACAUUGAUAGCAAUGUGUAAGAUCUGGGCAUUCACAGAGUGGCCACCAGAUUCUGAUUGGCCGUAUUGCCUCAGGCCUGUGGUAAGGCAGCCCAGCAGAGCAUAAGCACAUGGAAGAUGUAUCUGCCUCAUGAUUGGGAAGAAAAGAGAAAAGGAAGAGGUGGCUGAGGUCCCCAGUGACUGAAGACCCCCCCAUAGACCCCACAUCCUAAAGGCUCUACCACUUCCCAAUAGUGCCACCCAGGGUACGUAUUUAACUCCUGGACCUUUGGGGGACCUUUCUGAUCCAAACUGUGCCAUAUGCCCUGGAGUUUAAUAAGUCUCUAGUGUGAAUCUCUAUUCCUUCAGGUCCACUAUAUUACCCCGUGCUUGUUCCCUUUUCUUCUCCAAGUCUGUUUGACUUUUGCUUCUCCCCCACAUGCACUCCCCCAUUUUUUCCCUGAAGAUCCCAAGGGUCUUCUCAGUCCUCCUGAAAAGGAAGAUUUUACUUGGGAAGUGAUAGUGCACACUGGGCUGCCACUCAGCCACUCGAGAACUUCUGGCGAAAGCCCUAAUAAAAGCACAAUUUAUUGUGAUUUGAGAGAGGCCUCUGUCUUAAUUAUUUUUAUGGGGAAAAGUUCAUUCAGACCAGAACUUUUUGUGAAAUGUGGCUUUAGACCCUACUAAUCUCCAUGUCUUGAUGUAGCUAGAAAUACUGCUUUUUCUCCAGCUCCUUAGCCUUCUCUUCUGCACAGACUCCUGGUGAUUGAUGUGUGGAUUGACUUCCCAAAACUAUCAGGGAAGCCUGCCAAGUCAGCAGGAAUUCAUGCUUCUUCUGGUCUAAGACCAGCUGGCUGAAAUCUCCUCUUACAACCAUCUUAUUAUAAGCACACGACUUGUGUGCAGACUCAGAAUGAGUAUUCUGCCUCCCAUGUCUCCUCUGAAGUAUCUUGUUGUGUUCACAAGGAACUUGGAGCAGGUAAUUAG